AGGAUAAUAGUUAAAUAUAACAUUUAAUUUGCAAUUAAAAAGUAUUGGAAUUCAAUUUAUCUU
This 63-nucleotide transfer RNA is filed under the name Batophila aerata. RNAcentral's name for it is "tRNA-Ala". It matches the Rfam family "tRNA". Rfam says of the family: Transfer RNA (tRNA) molecules are approximately 80 nucleotides in length. Their secondary structure includes four short double-helical elements and three loops (D, anti-codon, and T loops). Further hydrogen bonds mediate the characteristic L-shaped molecular structure. tRNAs have two regions of fundamental functional importance: the anti-codon, which is responsible for specific mRNA codon recognition, and the 3' end, to which the tRNAs corresponding amino acid is attached (by aminoacyl-tRNA synthetases). tRNAs cope with the degeneracy of the genetic code in two manners: having more than one tRNA (with a specific anti-codon) for a particular amino acid; and 'wobble' base-pairing, i.e. permitting non-standard base-pairing at the 3rd anti-codon position. The record is from RNAcentral. Lineage: Eukaryota; Metazoa; Arthropoda; Insecta; Coleoptera; Chrysomelidae.